RNAcentral lists this transfer RNA (73 nucleotides) under Spirochaetaceae bacterium. RNAcentral describes it as "tRNA-Thr". It matches the Rfam family "tRNA". From Rfam's summary of the family: Transfer RNA (tRNA) molecules are approximately 80 nucleotides in length. Their secondary structure includes four short double-helical elements and three loops (D, anti-codon, and T loops). Lineage: Bacteria; Pseudomonadati; Spirochaetota; Spirochaetia; Spirochaetales; Spirochaetaceae. RNAcentral also lists the same sequence under 2 other names. The record is from RNAcentral.
GCCUCUAUAGCUCAGUCGGUAGAGCGCAACCAUGGUAAGGUUGAGGUCAACAGUUCGAUUCUGUUUGGAGGCU